UUCAAAGCUUUCGUGUCUUUGUUCUUCGCUUCACAGAGUGUGUGUUUCUCUUGCUUUGACACCUGGGGUGCUGCUCAACAAUCGUGUCUAUGAUACCUCACUCCACCGAGAGGUAGAUAGACAGAGAACUUCAGUUUGAGAGAGAAAUAGCGCGAGAGAGAGAGUGAGAGAGAGAGAGAGCUCCAGGUUGCGUUCUAUCUAUCUAGGGAUAGAGAGAGAGUUUGAGACUGAAGAAGAGGGAGACGGGAAGAAGUUGAUGGUCGAUUCGAACAGAAAUUGAGUGAACUGAUCAUCCCAGUACUUUGCAUUCUGAGUGGGUCGAGUUUAUGACGAGAAGAUGGGGUUUUGGUGAUGCAGGGGUUUUUGGGUUGUUGGCUUAACCUUGAGGUGGAGGUGUGUUCAGAAAGGCAGGAGAGCAGUUGUUUCUGGUGUUUGAGAUUAGGUCGCAUUUGAGGUGUUGUCAAUUGUGAAGCUGCUGCUAUUAAGAUUUCAAUCAUCUUUCUUAGGUUGGUUGCUGGAGGAAGCACCAUUUUGAAGAACCUCCACUGAUAUGUGAUGACGAACAUCAACACCUCUUCUCAGCAGACCGAUCAAAUGUAGCUAGGUUAGCCUAUAAGUAGAACAAUAUAUUUUUGACAAGCUGUGUCAACAGCAGUUGUAUUGUAUAUUUGCACAUUAUCAGAACAUUUAUAUUAAUGGUAAUGUUAGUUGCAAACAUAAGUCUCUAGUCGUCCAAACUUGCA
Molecule: long non-coding RNA, 743 nt
Organism: Rosa rugosa (rugosa rose)
Lineage: Eukaryota; Viridiplantae; Streptophyta; Magnoliopsida; Rosales; Rosaceae
Exons: 3
Source: RefSeq, a predicted model, not a curated record